UACCAUCUAAGAGACUGUCAAACAGUACACUGCAAGAGAAGGGACAAAGGAAGCAGCCCUGACACAGAAGAAGAGUCCCUGGCUUAAACCAUUUGGAAAGUAAGACUGUUGAAAGCAUGUGGAGAGGCCUGGCCAGUACAGAACAGACAUUUCUACUGGAAAAUCUAGGCCUGUGGGUGCAUUGGGGUCACUCUGCCAUAUAACCUGUGAGUGGCUGGCCAGCUGCAGCACACACACAGACGUAGCUGGGAGUGACCAGCAUGAUGGAGGCUGUUUGUGAGCAGUCCUGACUCGAGGCUACAGCAGCAAAGCAGCGCAAAGGGCCGCCCAGGUUAGAGGGCAGAGGUAACACAGCUAUUCACUAGUCUAGAUUGUCCCUAGGGUAUGUCACACCUGCCUUCUUCUGGCUUUUGUGACAUUCAGGCUAAGACACCAGUCUCUCCCCAUUCACUGAACAGGAGUUGAGGUGCCUAACCCAGGCUCUGUGAAUCCCAGAGAUUUUCUAGUUGCCUAAAAGUGAGUUGUUGUGACACUCAGCAUCUCAGUGUCUAACUCCUUGUGUGAAUUCAGACUGAGAGGCCUACAUUCCUUUGUGGAGCUGGGCCUAAUCUCCCUUUGUGAUAGCAGCACAAUAUCAUGAUCUUGUCCUGAAAGUUUAUACAUGGAGCCCUGUGAACUGCGGCGUGUGAAUCAGCUUAAAGCAAAGUAGGCAGUGGACACACAGUCAAAUCAGCUUUAUGAAAAGCCAGAAAACCAAAAGAAGGGGUGUCUCCCUUGUGAAGUAACUGUAGUUCUUCGAGACGUGCGUCCCUAGGGGUGCUCGACACUGGCCUGCGUGCACCUCACAUGCCCUUGAAUGGAGAUAUUCAUUAGCAGUGUCCGUUUGGCCUGCACAUGUGCUGUUCGUAUCCCCUUGUCCUGUAUCGAGGCUAUAUCACACUGUGCAGCUGAACC
Dermochelys coriacea (leatherback sea turtle) is the source of this 954-nucleotide long non-coding RNA. RefSeq lists it as uncharacterized. The transcript has 3 exons. Lineage: Eukaryota; Metazoa; Chordata; Testudines; Dermochelyidae. The record is from RefSeq and is a predicted model, not a curated record.